AUCGAAUACCAAAAAUAUAAGAAAAAAAUAAAAAGAUGGCAAACAACACAGUUUCUUGGCUUUUUCAAGAGAAAAGUGAACUUCUCGUUCUUCUUCCUAUAAAAUAAAGAAAGAGCAAAGAGAAGCGUAUUUGAUGACGGAGAGAGAGCAUGAACAUGAGGUGAGAAAUACAGUGUCAAAUGCUACUAUGAGCUAAGGCUGCAAAUAGGUCGGGUUAACCUGUGACCCGACCCAACCCGACUCAUUUUGGAGGACCCAUAGGGUCGGGUC
This 270-nucleotide long non-coding RNA is filed under the name Phoenix dactylifera (date palm). RNAcentral describes it as "long non-coding RNA (PDAC_LNC003823)". Lineage: Eukaryota; Viridiplantae; Streptophyta; Magnoliopsida; Arecales; Arecaceae. The record is from RNAcentral.